AUCGAACGCUGGCGGCAGGCCUAACACAUGCAAGUCGAGCGGAUGAAGGGAGCUUGCUUCUGGAUUCAGCGUCGCACGCGGGUGUGUUGCCUAUGAGUCUCCUGGGUAGGGGGGGAGGACGACCGGAAACGGGCGCUACUACUGCAGAAUACCUGAGCGAGAAGGCGGGGGAUGGUCGGACCUCACGCUAUCAGAUGAGCCUAGGCCGGAUUAGCUAGUUGGUGGGUUAAAGGCCUACCAAGGCGACGAUCCGUAACUGGUCGGAGAGGAUGGUCAGUCACCCGGGAAGUGAGACAGGGUCCAGACUCCUGCGGGAGGCCGCAGUGGGGAAUAUUAGACAAUGGGCGAAAGCCUGAUCCAGCCAUGCCGAGUGUGUGACGAAGGUCUUCGGAUUGUAAAGCAGUUUAAGUUGGGGGAAAGGGCAGUAAGUUAAUACCUUGCUGUUUUGACGUUACCAACAAAAUAAGCACCGGCUAACUUCGUG
RNAcentral lists this ribosomal RNA (484 nucleotides) under uncultured bacterium. RNAcentral describes it as "partial 16S ribosomal RNA". It matches the Rfam family "Bacterial small subunit ribosomal RNA", at positions 30 to 507 of the family's 1533-position model. The record is from RNAcentral.